This is a small nuclear RNA of Pipistrellus kuhlii (Kuhl's pipistrelle), 136 nucleotides long. RefSeq annotates it as U4 spliceosomal RNA. The transcript has a single exon. The record is from RefSeq and is a predicted model, not a curated record. NCBI's taxonomy places the organism in Eukaryota, Metazoa, Chordata, Mammalia, Chiroptera, Vespertilionidae.
AGCUUUGAGCAGUGGCAAUAUCGUAGACAAUGAGGUUUAUCUGAGUCAUGAUUAUUGCUAAUAGGGGGGGAAAUCUUUUUUCCUUAAAUGGAAUUUGCAGAAUGUUUUUAAGGGAUAAAGAAAAGCAACUCUUUGC